CCUACGGGAGGCAGCAGUGGGGAAUAUUGCACAAUGGGGGAAACCCUGAUGCAGCGACGCCGCGUGAGUGAAGAAGUUUUUCGGUAUGUAAAGCUCUAUCAGCAGGGAAGAAAAUGACCGUUCCUGAUUAAGAAGCCCCGGCUAAAUACGUGCCAGCAGCCGCGGUAAAACGUUGGGGGCAAGCGUUAUCCGGAUUUACUGUGUGUAAAGGGAGCGUAGAUGGUUAUGUAUGUCUGGAGGGAAAGCCCGGGGCCCAAACCCGGGACUGCUGUGGAAACUGUGUAACUGGAGUACAGGAGGGGCAGGCGGAAUUCCUGGUGUAGCGGUGAAAUGCGUAGAUAUCAGGAGGAACACCGGCGGCGAAGGCAGCCUGCUGGACUGAAACUGACGUUGAGGCUCGAAAGCGUGGGGAGCAAACAGGAUUAGAUACCCGAGUAGUC
Molecule: ribosomal RNA, 440 nt
Filed under: uncultured bacterium
Lineage: Bacteria
Description: partial 16S ribosomal RNA
Rfam family: Bacterial small subunit ribosomal RNA
Source: RNAcentral